CUGUUCGGCCCUUCUCUUCCGAGUAUCUACAACAGAAGACCAGGGACAGAGCUAUCUUUAGUGAACGGGGAGUGGGAAUCGGGAACGGGAGUAGGAAUUGGAAGCUUUGCGGCACAAUGUCCCAUUUGCUGGUGUGUUUGACCAAUGAAAGCUUGAAUGGAUGCCCUCAGCAAACAUCUUUGUGUAAGUAUACCAAGCAGAGCAUCAUUUCAAGUUAAUAUGGAACUGAAUUCUGAUCUUGUAAGCAUGGGACUUGCAUUAUUAUAUUUCAUUUUUUUAAUCCUGUUUCAUUAACCUUCUUCAAUUAUGCAGGUACAUAGAUAGGAGGUUUAGGGUAAAUCAGUUCAUGGUAGUUUUGAUAGAAUGGAAGAUCUCUUAGCUAUUACCGUUUAUCAAUUUGUCUAAUUGUCAUCCUGACUUCACCGAUACUGUUCCUUCACUUAAAUUAGUAAAAUUAUCUUUAUAUUGUUGAAUACAUGCUAUUCUUUUCUCUAUGCUGGGUUGGUUUUUAUAAGUGUGAAUUGGAGAAGAGUGGUGACAAGAAACUUGAAUCUUUAUAUAUCAAGGCUUCUAUCUGGGAGUUUUUGCAUGCAUGCAAAUAAAUCUCCACAAGGAGUUCUGGAAAGGGAACAGACACUGAAUUGGAUAUGCACAUGUGCAGAGUAGCAUUGGAUAAGUGGAGCUGGAUAGAUCAAGGAUGCUAUCUGAGAGCCUCUGCCUGCAUGAAAAUCAAUCUUGACAUGGAUUUGUGGCAAUGACGAGACAUUGACUGGAAAUCAAUGUUCAGAAAAACCUUUGAAAACAUUUCUUCUUUCUUUUACUGAGUUGUAUUAUUAUCUGUGUGGAAGUUAUCUGUUUGGAAGACACAUGACCUGGAUAUACCAAAGCUGCUAUCUGAGAGCUUAGGCCUGCAUGAAAAGCACAGUACAGAAGGAUAUACGUGGGAAAGAAAUGAAUGAAUUGGUAAGGAAGAGAAAUUGAGAGAGCUAGGGUGAGGCAUGGCAUGACUAGGACAGGAGCAGAUGAAGUCUACUUCUGUCAUUCUCAUGCACUGCCUCUUCCCGGGCUCCCCCAACAUAUAUGGAAACCAGUUUCCUUUGAGAUAUUCCAACGAAGUUUUUUUGGUGGAUGUGUACAGCUGCAGUUAAAUUUAGAGCUAGAAGUCAACCUUGAAAGACUCUAAAUUUGGUCUGUUCAAAUAGUAGCCAAAAUCUGGUUUUAAAUAACUGUUAAAAGAUAGUGUUAUUGAAAUCCUUUUGAAUCUAAUGCAAGAAUGUACCAUGUGUAAGAACAGGUGAAAAGUAAUACCAUAAAAACAAUUUCAUCCAAAGAUGAAAACCAUGCCAUGGUUAUAUUUGAAGUUUUUGCAUAUUAUCCCAAACUUAGAAAUUUGAGAAGGAAAAUCACAAUACUCCAUUCCAAUAUUCAGAAAGGACCUGGUCAUGAUAAAUAUACAGUACAAAAAGAAAAUACACUAAAGGGUCUAGGUAAAGUGUGGUAUGAUAGUACAAGUACGGAUGCUAUUAGAAUGAACAACACACCCAAUGUUCUUGAAGUCCAAGUAGUUCCACAUUGGAGCUCUUGGGGUAUCAUUGGAGUAAAUUGUCCAUGAGGGAAAUGUGAAAAUAUCAGCAAUUGUCUUGAGUGUGUUAUCACAAUGUUCAAAGUUAUAAUUGAUAUUUUGAUUGCUAGUACUUCCACCUUACUUAGAUCAAGGCUACAUGCAAAUGGGCUUGUCCAUAUUCAAAGAUUGGGAAAAACCUGUUUUGCUCGAAGUUGCAAGUAAUAUAUUGAGCAUUUUGAUUCCAUG
This 1810-nucleotide non-coding RNA is filed under the name Apopellia endiviifolia. Lineage: Eukaryota; Viridiplantae; Streptophyta; Jungermanniopsida; Pelliales; Pelliaceae. The record is from RNAcentral.